This 600-nucleotide ribosomal RNA is filed under the name uncultured marine crenarchaeote. Its description in RNAcentral is "bacterial SSU rRNA". It matches the Rfam family "Archaeal small subunit ribosomal RNA", at positions 880 to 1478 of the family's 1478-position model. The record is from RNAcentral. Lineage: Archaea; Thermoproteati; Thermoproteota.
CACAAGGGGUGAAGCCUGCGGUUCAAUUGGAGUCAACGCCAGAAAUCUUACCCGGAGAGACAGCAGAAUGAAGGUCAAGCUGAAGACUUUACCAGACAAGCUGAGAGGUGGUGCAUGGCCGUCGCCAGCUCGUGCCGUGAGAUGUCCUGUUAAGUCAGGUAACGAGCGAGAUCCCUGCCUCUAGUUGCCACCAUUACUCUCAGGAGUAGUGGGGCGAAUUAGCGGGACCGCCGCAGUUAAUGCGGAGGAAGGAAGGGGCCACGGCAGGUCAGUAUGCCCCGAAACUCUGGGGCCACACGCGGGCUGCAAUGGUAACGACAAUUGGUUUCGAAUCCGAAAGGAUGAGGUAAUCCUCAAACGUUACCACAGUUAUGACUGAGGGCUGCAACUCGCCCUCACGAAUAUGGAAUCCCUAGUAACUGCGUGUCAUUAUCGCGCGGUGAAUACGUCCCUGCUCCUUGCACACACCGCCCGUCGUUUCAUUGAAGUGAGCUUUUAGCGAGGUGACGUCUAAUUGGCGUUAUCGAACUUGAGGUUCGUGACAAGGGAAAAGUCGUAACAAGGUGACCGUAGGGGAACCUGCGGUCGGAUCACCUCCUU